CUACGGGUUGCACCAGUGGGGAAUAUUGCACAAUGGGCGCAAGCCUGAUGCAGCCAUGCCGCGUGUAUGAAGAAGGCCUUCGGGUUGUAAAGUACUUUCAGCGGGGAGGAAGGGAGUAAAGUUAAUACCUUUGCUCAUUGACGUUACCCGCAGAAGAAGCACCGGCUAACUCCGUGCCAGCAGCCGCGGUAAUACGGAGGGUGCAAGCGUUAAUCGGAAUUACUGGGCGUAAAGCGCACGCAGGCGGUUUGUUAAGUCAGAUGUGAAAUCCCCGGGCUCAACCUGGGAACUGCAUCUAAUACUGGCAAGCUUGAGUCUCGUAGAGGGGGGUAGAAUUCCAGGUGUAGCGGUGAAAUGCGUAGAGAUCUGGAGGAAUACCGGUGGCGAAGGCGGCCCCCUGGACGAAGACUGACGCUCAGGUGCGAAAGCGUGGGGAGCAAACAGGAUUAGAUACCCCUGUAGUC
RNAcentral lists this ribosomal RNA (464 nucleotides) under uncultured bacterium. Its description in RNAcentral is "partial 16S ribosomal RNA". It matches the Rfam family "Bacterial small subunit ribosomal RNA", at positions 339 to 795 of the family's 1533-position model. The record is from RNAcentral.